This 902-nucleotide ribosomal RNA is filed under the name uncultured archaeon. Its description in RNAcentral is "bacterial SSU rRNA". It matches the Rfam family "Archaeal small subunit ribosomal RNA", at positions 1 to 878 of the family's 1478-position model. The record is from RNAcentral.
UUCCGGUUGAUCCUUGCGGACCCCGACUGCUAUCGGAUUGAGAUUUAGCCAUGCGAGUUGAACGUCUUCUGACUGCAGGAGGCGUAGCAUACGGCUCAGUAACACGUAGUCAACCUGCCCUGGAGACGCGGAUAACCCCGGGAAACUGGGAUUAAUCCACGAUAGGUCACCUCAUCUGGAAGGAGAGAUGGCCCAAAGGGGAACUGUGAGCAUGUUUCACUACUCCCGCUCCAGGAUGGGACUGCGGCCGAUCAGGCUGUUGGCGGGGUAAAGGCCCACCAAACCUGUAACCGGUACGGGCUUUGAGAGAAGGAGCCCGGAGAUGGACACUGAGACAAGGGUCCAGGUCCUACGGGGCGCAGCAGGCGCGAAACCUUCGCAAUGCGCGAAAGCGUGACGAGGUUAGUCCGAGUGGCUUCCGCUGAGGAGGUCUUUUACUGGCUCUAAAAAGGCUGGAGAAUAAGGGGAGGGCAAGCCUGGUGUCAGCCGCCGCGGUAAUACCAGCUCCUCGAGUGGUCGGGGCGAUUAUUGGGCCUAAAGCAUCCGUAGCCGGUUCUGCAAGUCUUCCGUUAAAUCCAGCCGCUCAACGGAUGGGCCGCGGAGGAUACUACAGGACUAGGAGGCGGGAGAGGCAAGCGGUACUCAGUGGGUAGGGGUAAAAUCCUUUGAUCCAUUGAAGACCACCAGUGGCGAAGGCGGCUUGCCAGAACGCGCUCGACGGUGAGGGAUGAAAGCUGGGGGAGCAAACCGGAUUAGAUACCCGGGUAGUUCCAGCUGUAAACGAUGCAGACUCGGUGAUGGGCUAGCCUUGUGCCAGCCCAGUGCCGCAGGGAAGCCGUUAAGUCUGCCGCCUGGGGAGUACGGUCGCAAGACUGAAACUUAAAGGAAUUGGCGGGGGAGCA